CCCCCUGUAGCUCAACGGAUAGAGCAGCGCUCUUCUAAGGCGUUGAUAGGGGUUCGAUUCCUCUCGGGGGGA
This 72-nucleotide transfer RNA is filed under the name Candidatus Sungbacteria bacterium RIFCSPHIGHO2_01_FULL_47_32. Its description in RNAcentral is "tRNA-Arg". It matches the Rfam family "tRNA". From Rfam's summary of the family: Transfer RNA (tRNA) molecules are approximately 80 nucleotides in length. Their secondary structure includes four short double-helical elements and three loops (D, anti-codon, and T loops). Lineage: Bacteria; Candidatus Sungiibacteriota. The record is from RNAcentral. RNAcentral also lists the same sequence under 3 other names.